GAUGAAGAACGUAGCGAAAUGCGAUACGUAAUGUGAAUUGCAAAUUCAGUGAAUCAUCGAGUCUUUGAACGCACAUUGCGCCCCCUGGUAUUCCGGGGGGCAUGCCUGUCAGAGCGUCAUUGCUGCCCUCAAGCACGGCUUGUGUGUUGGGCCCCGUCCUCCGAUCCCGGGGGACGGGCCCGAAAGGCAGCGGCGGCACCGCGUCCGGUCCUCGAGCGUAUGGGGCUUUGUCACCCGCUCUGUAGGCCCGGCCGGCGCUUGCCGAUCAACCCAAAUUUUUAUCCAGGUUGACCUCGGAUCAGGUAGGGAUACCCGCUGAACUUAAGCAUAUCAAUAAGCGGAGGA
RNAcentral lists this unclassified non-coding RNA (345 nucleotides) under soil metagenome. RNAcentral's name for it is "partial contains 5.8S ribosomal RNA, internal transcribed spacer 2, and large subunit ribosomal RNA". The stretch from base 1 to 119 matches the Rfam family "5.8S ribosomal RNA", at positions 35 to 154 of the family's 154-position model. The record is from RNAcentral.